GUCUCCAGGGCUUUCACUAAAGGUGGCAACAUGAAAGAGAUGGUUUCCAGUGGAUUCAUCUCAGUGGUUUGCUGAACUCCCUCCAGCAACCUGCUCUGAAGUCACCUGAGCUGAAGCCAGCAGAGGACUCUUGACCUAUGUCCAAGGGCUGUUGAGCUCAGCUCAGGGAAUUGUCCAUCCUGACUGCCAGAGACCAUCCAGUGAUGCCUCCACUCCUCUCAGGAAUGUCUCCCUGCAACAGUCUUAAGGAGGCCUGUCUGUGCAGACCAUCCACAAAGGAAACUUCCAGUUAGUACAAUACCUCAGAAAGAAAACAAUGUCCCACUGCUUAUUCACAAACAAAAGAGAACUUCUCUAGGAGCCUUCCUUUGUCCGACUAAUGCAAGUCCCUGGAGUCAGUGUCACCAUGGGGGUCCUUGCGGUUGCCCCUUCAGCGACUGACCUGACUGAGGGGAAAUGAAGAAAAGACUAAUGAACUCCAGGAUCUGGUGGGCCUGCCUCUCUCAUACAUAAAGAAGCUGAGUGUGUUUACAGAGUUGAACAGAGAGAUGAGGUUGCUGCUGGCUGUUGAGGAACAGGUCAUGUACUCCUCAAAAGAAGAAUUUUUUAAAGAAAACUCUGGCCCACCUUUAUCUCUAAUGGCCCAGCUGGGAGUUGCUAUAAUAAUCCUUUUGCUUUUAUGUGGCCAUCUGGAGGCCUAUUAAAAACAGUA
This is a non-coding RNA of Peromyscus maniculatus bairdii (prairie deer mouse), 712 nucleotides long. The record is from RefSeq and is a predicted model, not a curated record. Lineage: Eukaryota; Metazoa; Chordata; Mammalia; Rodentia; Cricetidae.